UGUGUGGAGGGCUGGGAAGUCGAGGCUGGUGUCACAAGUACGUGUGGCGAAGACUGCAGCUGAGAGAAUAGCUUUAAAACCGAGCAACAUCCCAUCCCUUCAACUGUGGAACACUUGGGUUAAGAGUAAGACUACCAAAUCUUUCACAGAAACGAGUAACAAGUACAGAGCGAUGAGAAGAAAUCAGAUUCCUCACACCACCAGCCGCAAAGGAAUGCUUCGUUUAGCUGAUGAUAUG
Brassica oleracea var. oleracea is the source of this 238-nucleotide long non-coding RNA. RefSeq lists it as uncharacterized. The transcript has 2 exons. Lineage: Eukaryota; Viridiplantae; Streptophyta; Magnoliopsida; Brassicales; Brassicaceae. The record is from RefSeq and is a predicted model, not a curated record.